RNAcentral lists this ribosomal RNA (403 nucleotides) under uncultured bacterium. RNAcentral's name for it is "partial 16S ribosomal RNA". It matches the Rfam family "Bacterial small subunit ribosomal RNA", at positions 29 to 526 of the family's 1533-position model. The record is from RNAcentral.
AUUGAACGCUGGCGGCAGGCCUAACACAUGCAAGUCGAGCGAGCGGCGGACGGGUGAGUAAUGUAUGGGGACUGCCCGAUAGAGGGGGAUCACUACUGGAAACGGUGGCUAAUACCGCAUACUAUCGGAUAACCCAUAUGGGAUGAGCUAGUAGGUGGGGUAAAGGCUCACCUAGGCGAUGGUCUCUAGCUGGUCCGAGAGGAUGAUCAGCCACACUGGGACCGUGACACGGCCCCGACGCCUACGGAGGCAGCAGUGGGAAAUAUUGCACAAUGGGCGCAAGCCUGAUGCAGCCAGGCCGCGUGGAUGAAGAGGGCCUUAGGGUUGUAAAGUACUUUCAGCGGGGAGGCGUUACCCGCAGAAGAAGCACCGGCUAACGCCGUGCCAGCAGCCGCGGUAAUAC